ACAGCACAACAUCAUUUCAGUUCCUUCUGCUCUGAAUGACAGAUUUACGUUAAUCUGGACCUGGAGGAACUCUGAAUUAUUUAUGCAGAAUCUCAUUUUAUUCCUUCACGACGACAUUUGAGCCAAACUAAGUUACAAAGUCAGUUACAUGGAAUAUUAUUCCAAUUAUUUUAAUGGCUGCAUUUCUUUUUAAAUGAAAUCAACCUUUGUUUUAAAAAACAUCAGGUUUAGAUUAACAUGCAUGAAAAAUAAUAUCUGCAGGUCAGAUUAAUUACUGCUUAUUCAGCAUAAAUGAAGUCAUCAACCAAUCAGCUUCUUAAAGGAGCUUCUCAUUUCAGCCACACUUAAGACGCUAAUAACUAUUACUAUUGGAUAAGAAAAAAAAAAAAGCUCCAAACCAACUGAACAUGUAAUCAGCUCUUUAUAAAUCAUAAAAUGACUCAUUAUUCUACAUUUUUAAGAAGGCUGAGCUCAGUCAGCAAGCUGAAUAUUUAGUUAUCAAACUAAACCUUCAUUUCAAGGCUAAAUAUAACUAGAUAUUUGGCUCUACAAACUAAAACAGCUGAGCCAAUUAUUUAGUUGACCAGAAAAUUAUUUAGCUUUAAAUUAAAUAUUUAGCAAGUGGGUCAGU
Poecilia latipinna (sailfin molly) is the source of this 631-nucleotide long non-coding RNA. RefSeq lists it as uncharacterized. The record is from RefSeq and is a predicted model, not a curated record. NCBI's taxonomy places the organism in Eukaryota, Metazoa, Chordata, Actinopteri, Cyprinodontiformes, Poeciliidae. The transcript is spliced from 3 exons.